CGCAGCCCGGGGGACCCGGGCGACUUCCUCCCCUCCCUCCGGUUGCACGUGGGGUGGCUGAUGUAAGACCUUCCUCCGGGGGCUUCCCCGCCCACCGCCGAGCUGAGACACCCCCCCCUCCCGGCCCCCCUCGCCGGGGGCCCAGCUCGCUUGGACGUUGGCCCGGAGGGCUCGUGGGGAGAGGAGGCUGGAGAGUCCGGCUUCGGGGGUCCGUGAGGCCAGGUCCCGCUCCGGAGGCUCGGCCAUGCCAGCCCGACGCCCGCGAAAGUGGGACACGUGAAGGGGGCGCGGGGACAUGGGGCUUUCGGGUUCACCCUCCACUCCCCCGCGGUCCCCGCUGUCCUCUCGGCCGGUUGGUCUCGGAAGGGCUGAGAGGGACCCCCGUCGGGAGCGGCAUCGCGGUCGCCCCGCGUUGUAUCGCGUGGCACCGGGUGGGGUCGGCCUGCGCGGGGACGGGUGCAACUGCGGACACUUGCCCGAGCCACAGAGGAGCCCUCGGGCGUCCCCGGGUUCAGUGGACUCUCCCCGGGUUUCUAACAGUUAAAUGUCGGCUGGCAAGGCAGCAAUUAGCAUUUCUAAUGGGGCCUCGGAGUCUUACAGUUUGUCCCUGGACUUUUAUCCCAUUAUUCCUUAGGGGGGACCCCUGCGAGGUGUGUGAAUUCUUGAUGGUCUCGGUUUGGGUGAAGCUUGGCAGGUAGCCUUUGUAAUGGUCCGGUUCCGAGAACUCCCUGAAAGCCAGGGUUAGAGCAUUAAGUUUGCUUUGCAGACCUAGAGUAACAGACCUAUAUUCAGCUUAAAGUAAGUAAAUGCAUCCUAUGUCUCAUCAGAUACCGAGUUAUUUCUAAUAUAGACAAAAGGCUCCAAAGAUUGGGAACAACUUGUGAAUAGAGAAAAACAAUUCUAUGCAUCAACCUAAGGUUUUCUUAAAGAUUUCCCCCUCCCAUUCUACCUGUGGCAAACAAAACCACUUAUAUCAAUUUUUAAAAAAAUAUGUAAUUAAAUUUUCAGAGCAAAAGAACGUUUUUAAAAAGGCUCUGGAAAAGGCAAAAACUUUCUGGUAUGCAGUUUCCCAAGUCUUAAAAUGUUAGUCUUAGACAUCUCUGUGACGGGAAAAUGGUGAGGGAAAGUGCCCUUCAGGAUGUCACACGAGCACUAACUAUAAGGUUAUGAGAACCACAAGGCUGUGAGAUGAAGGCUUUUAUGAAAAACUUUGCAAAUCAGUUCCAUGAGCUCGAAAGCAAUGAUGGAUCAUCCAUUUUUAGGGCUUGAUAGGUUCUUUCUCAUUUAAUCCAAAGACACCUCUGUGAAAUAGAUUGUAUUUUAAUCAUUUUACAGAUGAGGAACUGAACCUGCAUGGCCAACAGGAGGAGGAGCUAGGGUUUAAACCCAGAUGGGUCUAACUCUUAAAGCCUGCCAUCAUUUCUGCGAUGCAGUCUGGUUGGAAUGAAGUCUGAGCAUGGGGGCCUGAUUUGGAACAUGAGGUAGGAACAUCUGUAGAGCACCUUUAACACCAAAAAGAACAUGCAGGUGCCAUCUUGCAGAAAACCAUGGGCAGAUUUCACAAAACCCAACAACUGGAAAAGCUGUUCAUACCUCACAGAACAGCCCUGUGCUUGGAGCGUGGCCUUACGCAUGGAUACGUAUAAAUUCUUUUCCUGCGAACCUGAAUUUCCCAUGUUUUACACCUAGUUAUAUCACUGAACUUCGCUCCUCACCUUCCUUCUUGUUUUCUGCGCAUGCUUCACUGGAG
Long non-coding RNA from Myotis myotis, 1750 nucleotides. RefSeq lists it as uncharacterized. The transcript has 2 exons. The record is from RefSeq and is a predicted model, not a curated record. NCBI's taxonomy places the organism in Eukaryota, Metazoa, Chordata, Mammalia, Chiroptera, Vespertilionidae.